CCGCAACUAUAGCUUGGCUGCGGGCAGGGCCAGCCUCACAGGUUGCUGAGUUCCAGUAGGGUCUGGUCCCAGCAGCUGCUCUUUGCUGGGUGUCAUUCCUGUCACUGUGAGGACACUGGCAAACCAAAGAGAUUGGUCCUUGUCUUUGGGACUCCUAGAGUUGAGGACAGAUAAUGCAUAGGAAGAAUCAGAGACUGUAACGGAUGCGAUCAACUUGAACAGAUGGGAGAUAUUAAGCACCAAGAGGGUGAAUGAGGAGGUUUCUUACUUCCUGGUCACAAAAUGGCUGCCGAAGUCCAUAAGCUAAAUCCUAAUGUGAGUGAACAUGAUCAAGAAGUUCACAAUUUUAAGGAUUCAUGACUACAACCCCAAAAUACGGCACUUCUGCCUGUGUGGAAACAACAGAAGCAGGAAGAUUACUCUCAUUUUUCUCUGGCCUUUUUCCCUUGAAGCAGACUAUAAAGAAGAAUCUGACCUUCCUCUGAAGGAAACCUUCAUUCCAGACAUACCCUCCCUAUAUCCAAAGAACAUCUUUAUCUUUAAAGACACAGAGAUGUCAAGAAGAAUCUGAACAAACAGGCUUUGCCAGAUCCCCCAGUUUACUAAUAUUGAACCAUACUCUUUUGUUCUUCAAUCAUACUUCUGCAUGAUGUCCAUAAAAAUACACAGUUUUCCCCAUUCCUUUUGGGUAUUUAUUCCCGAAAGCUUCUGUGUCAUGUAAAACUUACAUUAAAUAAAUUUGUAUGCUUUUCCUUG
Molecule: long non-coding RNA, 756 nt
Filed under: Homo sapiens (human)
Lineage: Eukaryota; Metazoa; Chordata; Mammalia; Primates; Hominidae
Description: HSALNT0330672
Source: RNAcentral